RNAcentral lists this ribosomal RNA (440 nucleotides) under uncultured bacterium. Its description in RNAcentral is "partial 16S ribosomal RNA". It matches the Rfam family "Bacterial small subunit ribosomal RNA", at positions 338 to 795 of the family's 1533-position model. The record is from RNAcentral.
CCUACGGGUGGCAGCAGUGGGGGAUAUUGCACAAUGGGGGAAACCCUGAUGCAGCGACGCCGCGUGUGGGAAGACGGUCCUCUGGUUUGUAAACCACUGUCCCCAGGGAGGAAGAUGACGGUACCUGGGGAGGAAGCUCCGGCUAACACCGUGCCAGCAGCCGCGGUAAUAUGUAGGGGGGGAGCGUUGUCCGGAAUUCCUGGGUGUAAAGGGAGCGUAGGGGGGGAUGCAAGUUGGGUGUCAAAACUACCGGCUCAACUGGUAGUCGCACUCAAAACUGCAGCUCUUGAGUGAAGUAGAGGCAGGCGGAAUUCCUAGUGUAGCGGUGAAAUGCGUAGAUAUUAGGAGGAACACCAGUGGCGAAGGCGGCCUGCUGGACUGCAACUGACGUUGAGGCCCGAAAGCGUGGGGAGCAAACAGGAUUAGAUACCCCAGUAGUC